This 229-nucleotide unclassified non-coding RNA is filed under the name Hevea brasiliensis (rubber tree). The record is from RNAcentral. Lineage: Eukaryota; Viridiplantae; Streptophyta; Magnoliopsida; Malpighiales; Euphorbiaceae.
GUGAUCAUCGGUCAGCUUCCAUGUGUUUAUAUGCAGGUCUUCAUAGGGCAUUACCAAAUGCUUCCAGGCAACACUUUCUGCGCUUUAUGGUAAUCUUUUAAGCUUUUAGUCAACAUUAAUCUGUAGAAGCAGUGAAAAAGGAUUUGCUUUUUCAAAGGUAUAGAAAAGGUGAGAUCUUUACGUCCCCCUUCAAGAUUACGUUUGCGUGGAGGUGAAGAUAUGAAAAUGG